Molecule: ribosomal RNA, 484 nt
Filed under: Rhizopus stolonifer
Lineage: Eukaryota; Fungi; Mucoromycota; Mucoromycetes; Mucorales; Rhizopodaceae
Description: eukaryotic LSU rRNA
Rfam family: Eukaryotic large subunit ribosomal RNA
Source: RNAcentral
CGAGAUAUUUUGUCUUUUGCGAUACACUUUCAAAGAGUCAGGUUGUUUGGGAAUGCAGCCUAAAUUGGGUGGUAAAUCUCACCUAAAGCUAAAUAUUGGCGAGAAACCGAUAGCGAACAAGUACCGUGAGGGAAAGAUGAAAAGAACUUUGAAAAGAGAGUUAAACAGUAUGUGAAAUUGUUAAAAGGGAACCGUUUGGAGCCAGACUGGCUUGUCUGUAAUCAAUCUAGGUUUCGUGCCUGGAUGCACUUGCAGACUAUUUGCCUGCCAACGACAAUUUUUUUUGAGUGUAAAAACUAUUGGAAAUGUGGCCAAUAUUUAUUUAUUGGUGUUAUAGUCCUUUAGAAAAUACCUUGAAUUGGAUUGAGGAACGCAGCGAAUGCUUCUCUUUUGAGGCAAAGUCUUUUAUUGGGAUUUACGGAUCAGACUGUGGCAUUGUCACAAGACUUGAAGUUUAAACCUAUUUUUGAACUUUUAUUCGCUU